CAAGGAGUGGGAAGGAGGGAGAGCUGGAGAUGGUGGGAGACAGAGGGAGAAGCUCAUUCCCACCUUGGAGGCACGUUGCUUGGAGGGUGAGCUGGAGUGAGGAGAAGCCCACAGCAUGUGGUGGGUUUCAGGGGAAGACUUUUCGGGGCAAGAAGUGCCCCGGGGAUCCAUUGACCGUAGCAACUUCACCCGUGCUAAGUGCCGGGCACAGGGGAGUCUGCACUGCCAGUGGGAAGCCUCCAGGGAAUGGUGGGGUCGGCACGUUUGAAGAACACCCUCGGAUCAAGGGGUUUGCCAAUGGCAGGGCCUUGCUGCCAGCCAGGCAUUAGAUAUCAGAGCAUGGCCCUGCCGCUUAUCCCACUCCGGCAGAUUCCUCCUGAGGUGUUGGUGCCUCCUGAAUAAACAGUCGCCUGUCUCCACCACUAAGUGGGCUGCUUUCCCCUUGGUGAAGAGUUUUGGCAACGCACACGGCUCCUUCGCUGAUGCAAGCAAACGCGCGCAAGUAACACCGCACCGUCAACUGUGCUCACUGGGAAAGGGUUGGAAAUGUAGAUUGCAAGGCCUGGCGUUGGACUUUCUCCAAAACUGGGAGUUACCCCACUGAAGUCAGCGAAGUUACGAAACGAAGCAAGGAGAGCGAGGGUAGAAAUAGGGCGCAGGGAUUCCCGGGUGGAGUUUUGCCCUGGCGUACGCCAAAUCCGGCGUCGCUGUAAUUGCCUGUAAGUGUGGUGCCUGCAACGCCGGGGACGAGACCAGCUUCCUUCUGCCCGUGGCUCGUUCCCCUCUGUCGAGCUAAACGCAGGAAGCAAAG
RNAcentral lists this long non-coding RNA (811 nucleotides) under Struthio camelus australis. Its description in RNAcentral is "lncRNA (ENSSCUG00000016729.1)". The record is from RNAcentral. Lineage: Eukaryota; Metazoa; Chordata; Aves; Struthioniformes; Struthionidae.